Molecule: ribosomal RNA, 251 nt
Filed under: uncultured bacterium
Lineage: Bacteria
Description: partial 16S ribosomal RNA
Rfam family: Bacterial small subunit ribosomal RNA
Source: RNAcentral
GCAAGUCGAGGGGUAACAUUGAAGCUUGCUUCAGAUGACGACCGGCGCACGGGUGCGUAACGCGUAUAGAACCUACCUUUUACAGAGGGAUAGCCUUUAGAAAUGAAGAUUAAUACCUCAUAGUACUAAAUUUUGGCAUCAUUAUUUAGUUAAAGAUUUAUCGGUAAAAGAUGGCUAUGCGUCCUAUUAGCUAGAUGGUAAGGUAACGGCUUACCAUGGCAACGAUAGGUAGGGGUCCUGAGAGGGAGAUC